RNAcentral lists this ribosomal RNA (514 nucleotides) under uncultured bacterium. Its description in RNAcentral is "partial 16S ribosomal RNA". It matches the Rfam family "Bacterial small subunit ribosomal RNA", at positions 28 to 523 of the family's 1533-position model. The record is from RNAcentral.
GACGAACGCUGGCGGCGUGCCUAAUACAUGCAAGUCGAGCGGACGAAUCGAAAGCUUGCUUUUGAUUCGUUAGCGGCGGACGGGUGAGUAACACGUGGGCAACCUGCCCUGUAGACGGGGAUAACACCGAGAAAUCGGUGCCAAUACCGGAUAACACGAAAUGUCGCAUGACGUUUCGUUGAAAGACGGCGCAAACUGUCGCUACAGGAUGGGCCCGCGGCGCAUUAGCUAGUUGGUGAGGUAACGGCUCACCAAGGCGACGAUGCGUAGCCGACCUGAGAGGGUGAUCGGCCACACUGGGACUGAGACACGGCCCAGACUCCUACGGGAGGCGGCAGUAGGGAAUCUUCCGCAAUGGACGAAAGUCUGACGGAGCAACGCCGCGUGAGCGAAGAAGGCCUUCGGGUCGUAAAGCUCUGUUGUUAGGGAAGAACAAGUAACGCAGUAACUGGCGUUACCGUGACGGUACCUAACGAGAAAGCCACGGCUAACUACGUGCCAGCCGCCGCCGUAA